UACGUAGGGUGCGAGCGUUAAUCGGAAUUACUGGGCGUAAAGCGUGCGUAGGCGGUCCGCAAAGUCUGAUGUGAAAGCCCCGGGCUCAACCUGGGAACUGCAUUGGAAACUAACGGGCUCGAGUGUGGCAGAGGGGGGUGGAAUUCCACGUGUAGCAAUGAAAUGCGUAGAGAUGUGGAGGAACACCGAUGGCGAAGGCAGCCCCCUGGGCUAACACUGACGCUCAGGCACGAAAGCGUGGGGAGCAAACAGG
Molecule: ribosomal RNA, 253 nt
Filed under: uncultured bacterium
Lineage: Bacteria
Description: partial 16S ribosomal RNA
Rfam family: Bacterial small subunit ribosomal RNA
Source: RNAcentral